Molecule: transfer RNA, 94 nt
Filed under: Rhodocollybia butyracea
Lineage: Eukaryota; Fungi; Basidiomycota; Agaricomycetes; Agaricales; Omphalotaceae
Description: tRNA-Ala
Source: RNAcentral
GGGCAUAUGGUGUAGGGGUUAUCACGUUCGCUUUGCAUUUCCCUCUCUUGUCUCUUAAUGCGAAAGGUCUCUGGUUCAAAUUCGGAUUAGGCCU